UAAAUGGGUUAUUGUUGCCCAGGGCUGUCCAUGGUACCGGGAGAUUGGCACCCGAGAGGUCCCAAGCCUGCAUCAAUCGGCAGAAAUGCGUAAGACCGAUGGCAAGGUACAUCUUUGAGAGUCUUGUCGCACAGGGACGCGCCAAUCCGGAGAAUGGGGUGAAACUCCUCUGAAAUCUGGUGUUGCUUCAUUCCAUGGGAAGCCCAAACAAAGUGAAACACGCAUUUAGUUGGCGCAUUUGCGGUAUAUUAACUUUGA
This 258-nucleotide ribozyme is filed under the name unclassified sequences. RNAcentral describes it as "Hairpin ribozyme 2 from viruses-like metatranscriptomes". It matches the Rfam family "Hairpin ribozyme 2 from viruses-like metatranscriptomes". The record is from Rfam by way of RNAcentral.